AUUGAACGCUGGCGGCAGGCCUAACACAUGCAAGUCGAGCGGAUGAAGGGAGCUUGCUCCUGGAUUCAGCGGCGGACGGGUGAGUAAUGCCUAGGAAUCUGCCUGGUAGUGGGGGAUAACGUCCGGAAACGGGCGCUAAUACCGCAUACGUCCUGAGGGAGAAAGUGGGGGAUCUUCGGACCUCACGCUAUCAGAUGAGCCUAGGUCGGAUUAGCUAGUUGGUGGGGUAAAGGCCUACCAAGGCGACGAUCCGUAACUGGUCUGAGAGGAUGAUCAGUCACACUGGAACUGAGACAGGGUCCAGACUCCUAGGGGAGGCAGCAGGGGGGAAUAUGGGACAAUGGGCGAAAGCCUGAUCCAGCCAUGCCGCGUGGGUGAAGAAGGUCUUCGGAGUGUAAAGCACUUUAAGUUGGGAGGAAGGGCAGUAAGUUAAAACCUUGCUGUUUUGACGUUACCAACAGAAUAAGCACCGGCUAACUUCGU
RNAcentral lists this ribosomal RNA (483 nucleotides) under uncultured bacterium. RNAcentral's name for it is "partial 16S ribosomal RNA". It matches the Rfam family "Bacterial small subunit ribosomal RNA", at positions 30 to 506 of the family's 1533-position model. The record is from RNAcentral.